GCCUCCUUAGCUCAGUGGUAGAGCGCGUCACUCGUAAUGAUGAGGUCAGUCGUUCAAACCGGCUAGGAGGCA
RNAcentral lists this transfer RNA (72 nucleotides) under Pseudozyma flocculosa PF-1. RNAcentral's name for it is "tRNA-Thr (CGT) (tRNA-Thr-CGT-1-1)". It matches the Rfam family "tRNA". From Rfam's summary of the family: Transfer RNA (tRNA) molecules are approximately 80 nucleotides in length. The record is from RNAcentral. Lineage: Eukaryota; Fungi; Basidiomycota; Ustilaginomycetes; Ustilaginales; Ustilaginaceae.